AGCCUAACAGCUAGCCCACAGACACAAAAUCAAUUUAACCCUAUUUAUAACCCCAAAUAUACUCACAUAUAAUCUUAACAAACCAUUUUUCCCCUUUAGUAUAGGCGAUAGAAAAAGAACCAAG
RNAcentral lists this ribosomal RNA (124 nucleotides) under Scorpaenopsis cirrosa. Its description in RNAcentral is "partial 16S rRNA". Lineage: Eukaryota; Metazoa; Chordata; Actinopteri; Perciformes; Scorpaenidae. The record is from RNAcentral.